RNAcentral lists this long non-coding RNA (1363 nucleotides) under Coturnix japonica (Japanese quail). RNAcentral describes it as "lncRNA (ENSCJPG00005006906.1)". Lineage: Eukaryota; Metazoa; Chordata; Aves; Galliformes; Phasianidae. The record is from RNAcentral.
GGAAAAUGUUUAAAGGAUUUGGUUAAUUCUAAUGCAGAAAUAGCAAUAUUUCACUAGCAGUUGUUCUCUCUGUACUAUGCUCCAGUGAAGGCUGAAUGCCACCUAUAUUCCUACAGCUAGCUUAUGUUCAUAAGUCUUGAUAAACAGCCUUAUUAAACUAAAUAGAAUGAGUAGUAGAUUUAGGUAGUGGCAGGGGAGAAAUGUGUUUCUCUGAUGACCUCUUUGCUCUCAGACCCACGCAGAAGGCACCAGACCAGUGUUUACUGCUCUGGAGUAUGUGAUCACAGAACACAGGGAAAGCUGAUAAAGAUGAAAUUGAUUGUUUGCAAUGAAGGGGAACAGAGGACGAAUGCAUCUAGACCUUAUUUACAAAAAAGGACUGCUAACGGACAUAUGCAGCAAAAUGAACUUGAGACAAAGGGCCUUUCUUCUUUUGUGGAUGUGGUGUUCAUUGGGAUUCACCUGAUGCAAUACUCUGUCAUUAACUCAUCAAAGGGCUGACUCCUUGGAGCCUCAUCAACAGAAAGACAGGAGGAGACCAAAGCAUUGGAAGUUCUUUCUGCGUUGCAAAGCGGAAAAACAGUCCAAUGGAUUAUAUGACAUGGCAGAUCUUGAAAGUACAGCACACAGAGGAAGGAAGGAGUGUCAUAAAUACAAGGGUAUUUGGCUGUUAUUUUUAGAGUUGACUGACAGAUAACCACGUAGCAGUGAUGUGUGUGGGGAGGACUAGUGGAAUAAUGCUGGAGAUGGUUAUAGUCUGAUGUAACUCCUGUGUGAUGACAACUCCCUGGCUUGUAGUUGGUCUUUAUCCCUGACAUGCAAUGUUCUACACGUCAGCUUUCUUUUGUUUUCCAUGGCUUGUUUCUCUUUGCUUUCCACACCAAAAAACAAUGAACUAAUGAAAAUGAUCCUUUUAUGAGAUAAUGAAUGUCAUUUGUAUUUCUACACAUUCCACUUUGAGCAUAGGAGAAAUGCACUGUACGGUUGGGCAAAAUGGUUGCCCACAAAUAGAAGGAAGACAUUUUUUUCUCUUCCCCCCUCCCAAUCCCCCCCCCAAGUGUUUCUUUCCUUUGGAGGAAUGUAAGAGCCUUCUCAGCAUGGGGUUACUCCAUUGUGGGUGGGUCACUGGUGUACAAACUAAAUCCUUUUCCUACUCCCAUUCUCCAGAUCAAGGCUGACACACUUAUAAAAAGGCAGAGCCAAGCUCAAGGGAAGACUUCAAAAGAGAAAUGCAUCCUUUUCUCUGUGAACUCUGUUGCUUUUUGUCUGUGUUCCCAUCGAGGUCUCCUUUCCAGGUAUUAGUCAUGUAGUGCUCUGGGUAACAGUAAAUAAACAGUUUUGUUCUGAGAAUUUCCUAUUGCUG